CCUACGGGUGGCAGCAGUGAGGAAUAUUGGUCAAUGGGCGGGAGCCUGAACCAGCCAAGUAGCGUGAAGGAUGACUGCCCUAUGGGUCGUAAACUUCUUUUAUAAGGGAAUAAAGUGCGGGACGUGUCCCGUUUUGUAUGUACCUUAUGAAUAAGGAUCGGCUAACUCCGUGCCAGCAGCCGCGGUAAUACGGAGGAUCCGAGCGUUAUCCGGAUUUAUUGGGUUUAAAGGGUGCGUAGGCGGCCUUUUAAGUCAGCGGUGAAAGUCUGUGGCUCAACCAUAGAAUUGCCGUUGAAACUGGGAGGCUUGAGUAUGUGUGAGGCAGGCGGAAUGCGUGGUGUAGCGGUGAAAUGCUUAGAUAUCACGCAGAACCCCGAUUGCGAAGGUAGCAUACCGGCGCGCAACUGACGCUCAUGCACGAAAGCGUGGGUAUCGAACAGGAUUAGAUACCCGAGUAGUC
RNAcentral lists this ribosomal RNA (460 nucleotides) under uncultured bacterium. RNAcentral describes it as "partial 16S ribosomal RNA". It matches the Rfam family "Bacterial small subunit ribosomal RNA", at positions 338 to 795 of the family's 1533-position model. The record is from RNAcentral.